UACGAAGGUCCCAAGCGUUGUUCGGAAUCACUGGGCGUAAAGGGUGCGUAGGCGGUUUGGUAAGUCAGAUGUGAAAUCCCGGGGCUCAACCCCGGAACUGCAUCCGAUACUGCCGGACUUGAGGACUGGAGAGGUGACUGGAAUUCUCGGUGUAGCAGUGAAAUGCGUGGAUAUCGAGAGGAACACUCGUGGCGUAAGCGAGUCACUGGACAGUAUCUGACGCUGAGGCACGAAGGCCAGGGGAGCGAAA
Molecule: ribosomal RNA, 250 nt
Filed under: uncultured bacterium
Lineage: Bacteria
Description: partial 16S ribosomal RNA
Rfam family: Bacterial small subunit ribosomal RNA
Source: RNAcentral